AAAAAAAAAAAUGGGUACUGCCUUAACCAAUUCCACGGAUACAGAAUUUAAAUUUGCCGUGUAAAAAAGGGUGAAAUAAUAGCAGCAGAAAAAAAUAAAUAAAUUAUAAUUUCAGAAUUAAUUAAUGGCUAGUAGGUAGAAGAACCCUAUGCACCAUAAAAAGAUUCCUUUUUUUCUGUUCGCCGCCGAUGAUACUUCUUUCCCUAAAAUCGGCGGUGAUGAUAAGUGGCUUGGUGGACUGAAAAUUUCCGGCGAAUUAACCGGCGAUAGAGAUAUCUCCGGCGGUGAAGCCACCACUGGUUCUCCUCCUCCACCACUACCAAUUGGAUUCUUCCCAAAGAACUCUUGAGGCAACAAUACUUUCGAUACCCCAAAUAUCGCAACCGGAUUCUGAUCAAACACCGUUUGAGUAACCGACGCUUGAAUAAUUCCGGUGUUAAUACCGACAGACCCAUUAACUCUAGAAAUGUUCAGUGUAAAACUCCCUGCACCAUUUUGCUCUGUAGCUAAUGUUGGUUGAACUGGAUUCACUAUAGAUUCUAAAGAACCUAAAGGGUAAUACGAAUGCAAAACAUGGAACCUUAAUACAACUGCUUUCUUCUCCGCCGGCAACGAUUGAAAUUUCAUCGACGAUGACAUAUCGGAAAAUGCUUCAUCUGUUGGCACAAAAAGCGUUAAUCCCGCACCCCCUUCAUCUCUCUCGAAUUCCUCUUCUACCCCAGAAGCAGUAAGCAUUGAAGCUGCAACAUUGAAA
RNAcentral lists this unclassified non-coding RNA (754 nucleotides) under Hevea brasiliensis (rubber tree). The record is from RNAcentral. Lineage: Eukaryota; Viridiplantae; Streptophyta; Magnoliopsida; Malpighiales; Euphorbiaceae.